AGUGAACGCUGGCGGCAUGCCUAAUACAUGCAAGUCGAGCGAACGCACGGGAAGCUUGCGUCUCUGCUGUUAGCGGCGGACGGAUGAGUAACACGUGGAUAACCUUCCUAUAAGUCUUGGGUAACUUCGGGGAAACGUAGCUACUACCGGCUCAUAUUUUGUACGGCAUGGUUCAAAAGUGAAAGACAGUCUUCCUGUCACUUAUAGAUGGAUCCGCGUUGCAUUAGCUAGUUGGUAAGGUAACGGCUUACCAAGGCAACGAUGCAUAGCCGACCUGAGAGGGUGAUCGGCCACACUGGAACUGAGACACGGUCCAGACUCCUACGGGAGGCAGCAGUAGGGAAUCUUCCGCAAUGGGCGAAAGCCUGACGGAGCAACGCCGCGUGAGUGAUGAAGGUCUUCGGAUCGUAAAACUCUGUUGUUAGGAAAGAAAAGAUGCGUAAGUAACCGCGCACAUUCUGACGGUACCUAAAGAGAAAGCAACGGCUAACUACGUG
Molecule: ribosomal RNA, 497 nt
Filed under: uncultured bacterium
Lineage: Bacteria
Description: partial 16S ribosomal RNA
Rfam family: Bacterial small subunit ribosomal RNA
Source: RNAcentral